CUACGGGCUGCUCCAGUGAGGAAUUUUGCGCAAUGGGGGGAACCCUGACGCAGCAACGCCGCGUGAGUGAUGAAGGCUUUCGGGUCGUAAAGCUCUGUCAAGUGGGAAGAACCUAUGCAGUGUUAAUAUCACUGUAUACUGACGGUACCACUGAAGGAAGCACCGGCUAACUCCGUGCCAGCAGCCGCGGUAAUACGGGGGGUGCAAGCGUUAUUCGGAAUCAUUGGGCGUAAAGGGCACGUAGGCGGCUUGGUAAGUCAGAUGUGAAAGCCCGGGGCUUAACCCCGGAAGUGCAUUUGGUACUGUCAGGCUUGAGUAUGGGAGAGGGAAGUGGAAUUCCUGGUGUAGAGGUGAAAUUCGUAGAUAUCAGGAGGAACACCGGUGGCGAAGGCGACUUCCUGGACCAAUACUGACGCUGAGGUGCGAAGGCGUGGGUAGCAAACAGGAUUAGAUACCCCAGUAGUC
This 465-nucleotide ribosomal RNA is filed under the name uncultured bacterium. RNAcentral's name for it is "partial 16S ribosomal RNA". It matches the Rfam family "Bacterial small subunit ribosomal RNA", at positions 339 to 795 of the family's 1533-position model. The record is from RNAcentral.